This 521-nucleotide ribosomal RNA is filed under the name uncultured bacterium. RNAcentral describes it as "bacterial SSU rRNA". It matches the Rfam family "Bacterial small subunit ribosomal RNA", at positions 1 to 525 of the family's 1533-position model. The record is from RNAcentral.
UAGAGUUUGAUCMUGGCUCAGAUUGAACGCUGGCGGCAUGCCUUACACAUGCAAGUCGAACGGUAACAGGUCUUCGGACGCUGACGAGUGGCGAACGGGUGAGUAAUACAUCGGAACGUGCCCGAUCGUGGGGGAUAACGAAGCGAAAGCUUUGCUAAUACCGCAUACGAUCUACGGAUGAAAGCAGGGGACCGCAAGGCCUUGCGCGAACGGAGCGGCCGAUGGCAGAUUAGGUAGUUGGUGGGAUAAAAGCUUACCAAGCCGACGAUCUGUAGCUGGUCUGAGAGGACGACCAGCCACACUGGGACUGAGACACGGCCCAGACUCCUACGGGAGGCAGCAGUGGGGAAUUUUGGACAAUGGGCGCAAGCCUGAUCCAGCCAUGCCGCGUGCAGGAUGAAGGCCUUCGGGUUGUAAACUGCUUUUGUACGGAACGAAAAGACUCUGGUUAAUACCUGGGGUCCAUGACGGUACCGUAAGAAUAAGCACCGGCUAACUACGUGCCAGCAGCCGCGGUAAUA